Molecule: long non-coding RNA, 421 nt
Organism: Cynara cardunculus var. scolymus (artichoke)
Lineage: Eukaryota; Viridiplantae; Streptophyta; Magnoliopsida; Asterales; Asteraceae
Exons: 3
Source: RefSeq, a predicted model, not a curated record
CGAGAUAGUAGWGUUCAUCAUCAAGAAUGGGAGGCAGUACUUGUGGAACAAGACCGAGCCCAUGGGAGAUUCCCGUUCCUAAUCCCAUCAAACAAAUUCCAUCCAUACUAUUUAAAAGUUCUCCAAAAAAACCCAGGAGGUUGGUUUGGUAAGAGAGAAGGCAUUUGGUACCACAAAAGAUUGGAUGCUUUAUAUUGMGGAUUGUGCAAAUUCAAGGGCUUCGACUGUAUUUAUUCGUGGGGGGUCCUGGUGGAAGGCCGAGCUUUGGUCGUGGAGGUGGCAGUUAUGGAGGAGGCGCACCACCAAGCUCAAGUUUCGCUUAAACAUAUUUCAUAUUCAUACGGUGUUUGCAGUUGAAUUUUAAACUUGAUCUUGAAAUGCUGUGCUUUCUUUCACUUGUUAUAUGAUCUACAAUUUUGUU